Small nuclear RNA from Oryctolagus cuniculus (rabbit), 94 nucleotides. The record is from Ensembl. NCBI's taxonomy places the organism in Eukaryota, Metazoa, Chordata, Mammalia, Lagomorpha, Leporidae.
UCUUUAAAAAAAAAAAAAAAGAAAGACUAGAGAGAAAAUUAACAUGGUCCCUGUUCAAGGAUGAUAAACAAACUCUGAAGCAUUCCAUAUUUUU